AUUGGAGGGAAGUGUCUACAAACCAAGGCAGACCAAGGAAUGCCUGGAGCCACCAGAAGCUGGAAGAGGCAAGGAAGGAGUCUUCUCUUGAGUGUGACACUGUCAACCACUUGAGAUCAGACUUCUGGCCUCCAGAAAUAAUAGAGCCAUGGUAACCGGAAUCGCCCAUUUUUGUGAGCAAGCAAACAAAAUGCCACCUUCUAAGAAGAAAGAGCAGAAAGAGGAGUCAGGCAUUUAAGAGGAUCAGAAGCCACCGAAUCACUCCUACCCUGGGCCGUCUUUAUUAGACAGCAUUUUUAUGCAGUGUCAGCCACACCAACGAGACACGAUGGAUGAGGCUGGAGUAAACGAUAAAACUAUACGGAUGCC
Molecule: long non-coding RNA, 369 nt
Organism: Orcinus orca (killer whale)
Lineage: Eukaryota; Metazoa; Chordata; Mammalia; Artiodactyla; Delphinidae
Exons: 3
Source: RefSeq, a predicted model, not a curated record